RNAcentral lists this transfer RNA (72 nucleotides) under Camelus bactrianus (Bactrian camel). It matches the Rfam family "tRNA". Rfam says of the family: Transfer RNA (tRNA) molecules are approximately 80 nucleotides in length. Their secondary structure includes four short double-helical elements and three loops (D, anti-codon, and T loops). Further hydrogen bonds mediate the characteristic L-shaped molecular structure. tRNAs have two regions of fundamental functional importance: the anti-codon, which is responsible for specific mRNA codon recognition, and the 3' end, to which the tRNAs corresponding amino acid is attached (by aminoacyl-tRNA synthetases). tRNAs cope with the degeneracy of the genetic code in two manners: having more than one tRNA (with a specific anti-codon) for a particular amino acid; and 'wobble' base-pairing, i.e. permitting non-standard base-pairing at the 3rd anti-codon position. Lineage: Eukaryota; Metazoa; Chordata; Mammalia; Artiodactyla; Camelidae. RNAcentral also lists the same sequence under 3 other names. The record is from Rfam by way of RNAcentral.
GAGGGUAUAGCUCAGUGGUAGAGUGUGUGCUUAGCAUGCACAAGGUCCUGGGUUCAGUCCCCAGUACCUCCA